CCUCAAUGUACACUAUUAAGAAAGUGAAAAGAGGCCAGGUGCGGUGGCUCCCACCUAUAAUCCCAGCACUUUGGGAGUCUGAGGUGGGCAGAUCACUUCAAGUCAGGAGUUCAAGAACAUCCUGACCAACAUGGUGAAACCCCGUCUCUACUAAAAAUACAAAAAUUAGUCAGGAGUGGUGGUGCACACCUGUAAUCCCAGCUACUUGGGAGGCUGAGGCAGGAGCAUCACUUGAACCCAAGAGGCGGAGGUUGCCGUGAGCCAAGAUCAUGCCAUCUCACUCCAGCCUGGGUGACAGAGCGAGGCUCUGCCUUGAAAAAAAAAAAGAAAAAAGAAGGAAAAGAAAAGAAAUAAAAAGAAAACAGAAAAAAACUCACAGAAUGAGAAAAUAUUUUCAGAUUAUAUUUGACAAGCGUCUGGUAUCCAAAAUAUAUAAAGGGAUCUCUGGCAAUACAACAAUCAAAAGAUGAAUAAGCCAAGCAAAGAUUUGAACACACAUAUCUACAGCCAACUGAUCUUUGACAAAGUCAACAAAAAUAUACACUGCAGAACGGACACCCUUUUCAACAAAUGGUGCUGAGAAAAUUGGAUUGCCAUAUGCGGAAGAAUGAAACUGGACCCUUAUCUCUCACCAUGUAAAAAUCAAUUCAAAAUAGAUUAAAGACUUGAAUGUAGUACAUGAAACUAUAAAAAUACUACAAGAAAAACUAGGGGAAACUCUUCUAGACAUUGAUCUAGGCAAAGAAUUCAUGACUAAGACCUCAAAAGCACAGGCAACAAAAACAAAAAUAGACAAAUGGGACUUUUAAAAGUUCUGCAUAGCAGGCCAGGCGCAGUGGCUCAUGCCUGUAAUCUCAGCACUUUGGGAGGCCAAGGCGGGUGGAUCACGAGGUCAGGAGUUCAAGACCAGCCUGGCCAAGAUGGUGAAACCCCAUCUCUACUAAAAAUACAAAAAUUAGCCGGGUGUGGUGGCAGGCGCAUGUAAUCCCAGCUACUCGGGAGGCUGAGGAAGGAGAAUCGCUUGAACCCGAGGGGCAGAGGUUGCAGUGAGCCAAAAUCACGCCACUACACUCCAGGCUGGACAACAGAGCGAGACUCCAUCUCAAAAAAAAAAAAAAAAAAAACAGAAAAAAACCUCUGCAUAGCAAAAGAGUGAACAGACAACCUGCAGAAUGGGAGAAAAUAUUUGCAAACUAUACACCCAACAGGGGACUAAUAUCCAGAAUUUUCAAGGAACUCAAACUACUCAACAACCAAACAGACAAUCUCAUCAAAAAGUGGGCUAAGGAUAUGAAUAGUCAUUUUUCAAAAAAAGAAAAGCAAAUGGCCAACAAGAAUAUGAAGAAAGUUCAACAUCACCAAUCAUCACAGAAAUGCAAAUUAAAACCACAGUGAAAUAUCAUCUUACACCAAUCGGAAUGGCUGUUACUGAAAAGACAAAAAAAUAACAGAUGUUGGCUAGGAUAUGGAGAAAAGGAAAUUCUUAUACACUGUUGGUGGGAAUGUUAAUUAGCAUAACCUUUAUGUAAAACAGUAUCUACCCUGUGUGUGUUUGUAUAUACAUAUAUAUAUACAUGUAUGUGCGUAUACAUGUGUGUGUAUAUAUACACACACACAUAUACUAGUAUUCCAUUGUGUGUGUAUAUGUGUAUAUAUAUACAUGCACACAUGCACCCACACACACAAUGGAAUACUAUUCAGCCAUGAAAAGGAAUGAAAUAAUGUAUUUUGCAACAACAUGGAUGGAGCUAGAGGCCAUUAACUCAAAAUAAACGAAUCAGACAGAGAAAGACAAAUGUUGCAUGUUCUCACUUAUAAGUGGGAGCUAAAUAAUAUGUACAUUAUUACACAUUAAUAUGUGUGAAGUAAUAGUCGAUGAAAACUCAGAAGGUCUCCAUUGGGUGGGAGUUGGGAGGGGGUGAAGGAUGAGAAAUUACCUAAUGGGCAAAAUGUAUAUUACUCCAGUGAUGGAUACACUAAAAGACCUGACUUUACCACUAUGUAAUCUAUCUAUGUUUGUAACAAAAUGACACUUGCACUCCAUAAAUUUAGACAAAUAAAUUAAUUAAAA
RNAcentral lists this long non-coding RNA (2071 nucleotides) under Homo sapiens (human). Its description in RNAcentral is "HSALNT0096482". The record is from RNAcentral. Lineage: Eukaryota; Metazoa; Chordata; Mammalia; Primates; Hominidae.